Stegastes partitus (bicolor damselfish) is the source of this 834-nucleotide long non-coding RNA. RefSeq lists it as uncharacterized. The record is from RefSeq and is a predicted model, not a curated record. NCBI's taxonomy places the organism in Eukaryota, Metazoa, Chordata, Actinopteri, Pomacentridae. The transcript has 4 exons.
UGCACUAAAACCGUCCAGAGAAGAAGAACGUCUCUCCUCCCGUAGUCCUCCGCGGCGCUAAAGUGACCUCUGUUGCUAACUGCAAGUCUGCUCUAAAACUAUGGCUCCUCCCGUCGCAGUGUCGCCUUUGAUUAAGACAGCCAGGUAUUCAGCUUUGAUUGUUGGCAUCAUCUAUGGCAAAAUGAGAUAUGAUAACCUGAAGCCCAUCGCUGCAGAGGAGAGGAGGAUCGAGGAAGAGGAGAAAAAGAUCCGCGAGGAGCAGGAGCGUAUCGCCAAGCAGCUAAGAGAAGCAAGUGAAGACACCAUUCUGAAGUAAAGCUUCAGAGUUGAGGAUGUCCACCUCCAUGUGCAAUUUCCAACCUUAUCCUCCUUUUUCUGGAGUAACUCAGUCAGGUCACCCAAACUCUCCAAUUUUUCGUGGACGUGUUCGCUGGUACCUUGUAUAAUACAACACCCCUCUGGAGUCCCAGAUAUAGUUGUUUAUGUUAGUUAGGUGAUAUGAAAUAAGGCUCUUGAACUCAGCAUUGUAUAACUGCAAAAGCACUCCUAAGUUUUUAAGUUGAUGUUUGUAAUGAAGCAAUGUCACAAAUAUACAAGUACACGAUCUCUGUGGGCUUUGUCUUUGUUUACCAGCACCACAACUGUUACAUUAAAUUAAUGAACAGUCAUUUUGCAGCCAAGAUUUUUGCUCAUAAUAGUCACCACAUUAAAUGCAGAAGUGUUUAAUUAGUUGCUGUUUAAUCAGGCUCAGUUUUGGAUCACUGGUUCCACAUACAAAACCUGCUUUAAUUAUUCUGUCUAAUCAUGUGAAGACAUUAAAGUCAUGACAAGGCU